Camelus ferus (Wild Bactrian camel) is the source of this 73-nucleotide transfer RNA. It matches the Rfam family "tRNA". From Rfam's summary of the family: Transfer RNA (tRNA) molecules are approximately 80 nucleotides in length. Their secondary structure includes four short double-helical elements and three loops (D, anti-codon, and T loops). The record is from Rfam. Lineage: Eukaryota; Metazoa; Chordata; Mammalia; Artiodactyla; Camelidae.
GGAGGGGUGAGCUUGGUGGUAGAGCACAUGCUUAGUAUACACAAGGUCCUGGGUUCAAUCCCCAAUCCCUCCA